This 814-nucleotide ribosomal RNA is filed under the name uncultured soil bacterium. RNAcentral describes it as "bacterial SSU rRNA". It matches the Rfam family "Bacterial small subunit ribosomal RNA", at positions 8 to 802 of the family's 1533-position model. The record is from RNAcentral.
AGAGUUUGAUCCUGGCUCAGAACGAACGCUGGCGGCGUGGAUAAGACAUGCAAGUCGAACGGGACAACAUUGGUAGCAAUAUUAGUGUUGUCCAGUGGCGCAAGGGUGCGUAACACGUGGGCAAUCUGCCGAGAAGUGGGGGAUAGCUCGCCGAAAGGCGAAUUAAUACCGCAUGCGGUCAGCGAGUGCAUACUCGCGAAACCAAAGCCGGGGCAACCUGGCGCUUCUUGAUGGGCCCGCGGCCUAUCAGCUAGUUGGUAAGGUAACGGCUUACCAAGGCUAUGACGGGUAGCUGGUCUGAGAGGACGACCAGCCACACUGGAACUGAGACACGGUCCAGACACCUACGGGUGGCAGCAGUCGAGAAUUUUUCUCAAUGGGGGAAACCCUGAAGGAGCGACGCCGCGUGAAGGAUGAAGGUCUUCGGAUUGUAAACUUCUGUCAUUAGAGAACAAUUGCCGCCGAGUAACUACCGGCGGUUUGAUAGUAUCUGAAGAGGAAGAGACGGCUAACUCUGUGCCAGCAGCCGCGGUAAUACAGAGGUCUCAAGCGUUGUUCGGAUUCAUUGGGCGUAAAGGGUGCGUAGGUGGCGAGGUAAGUUGGAUGUGAAAUCCCGGGGCUUAACCCCGGAACUGCAUUCAAUACUGCCCUGCUCGAGUACUGGAGAGGAGAUUGGAAUUUACGGUGUAGCAGUGAAAUGCGUAGAUAUCGUAAGGAAGACCGGUGGCGAAGGCGGAUCUCUGGACAGUAACUGACACUGAGGCACGAAGGCCAGGGGAGCAAACGGGAUUAGAUACCCCGGUAGUCCUGGCAG